AAGAGGUAGGAGCGGUGAUGAUGGCGGCUGUGGAGGGUGGCUCCUGGUGUCUCAGAGCACUCUCUCUGCCCUUUUAAGAGAAAAAGCCAGAGCCAUUGAAACUAGAGGCACAGAACAUCAGGACACAGGACAUCUGGAGGAACAAGGAACUGGGAGAAGUGGCAGAUUGGGAGAAGGCAAAUAAAAAGGUCAAAUGAUGAAGCUCACAAUCUGCUUUUGGCCCAGGAGAUAAUGCCCUUAUCUAAAGGCUAAACGUUUUCUUGGGAUGAAUGGAUCAGUCCUGAGUCCAAAAUUCCAUGACUGCCUUAGAAGAUAG
Molecule: long non-coding RNA, 316 nt
Filed under: Suricata suricatta (meerkat)
Lineage: Eukaryota; Metazoa; Chordata; Mammalia; Carnivora; Herpestidae
Description: lncRNA (ENSSSUG00005002686.1)
Source: RNAcentral